UUAGGCUGGUCCUCACUGCUCGAGAGGGCCUUGCUCUGCCGAGUUAACCCGGGCAGACUGACCCUUCCUCCCUCACACACUGGGCCUGUGUGGAUUUAUUCCAUACACUACAAUGCUUUUUGACCCUUUUUUGAUCACUUCUGGAUGGACGGAGGAAGUGUGUGGAGGGGAGCUCCAAGGGGGCGUGGGAUGGAGGACGUUGACAAGCUGCCCAUGGCCCUGGGGUCACAUCUGCAGUUUCUGUAGUGUCCCAGCAGUCCCCUGGGAGGCCUUGGGAUGGAGAACUGGGUGGACGGGGCAGCAGUGACAUGCCCUCCCCUUUAGCAUUGUGGUUCCUGUGAGUGGGUGACCAGCUUAUUCAGGGUUGGGGGGUGUUCAUCACCCUGAUCUGUAGAAUCUUACUGGCCUGUAAAUAUGACUGCAGGCUCAUGGGGGCCUAAGAAAGGGAGGCACAGGGCAGGGCUUAGGGAUUCUGCCCCCUCCCAGCCCCGGGGAGGAGGUGCUACCUGUGUGGCCGUGGCCAGGGAGAGCCCUAGGUUGGCCUGGCUGGAUCUGCCAAGUGGUCCUGUGAAGUCCUAGGCAGGUCCAGCUAGCCUGUUGAAGGGGCCAUGGCCAGUCCACGCUGGCGGAACCCUUUUGUCUGAAAAGGGCACUGUGCAAGGGGGGCUGGGAGCCCAUGGCUUCAGGGAUCCGCCCCUUGUGUCCUCCUCCACUGCCGCCAGUCGGCCAGCCCCCCAGGCUCUGCACAGCUGGUGGCCUCUAGCUCACAUCUGGGCAGCUGCGGCAGAGUAUGAACGGCUCGCAGGUGGGCAACGCGGUCCCGGCCUCCUGGCUGACCUGCUGCAACCAGUCGGGGGCGCCACCUCCGGAGCUUCCCGAGGGGCCUCGCACGCUGCAGGUGGCUGUGCUGGGCGUGCUGUCGCUGCUGGUGCUCUGCGGGGUCCUGUUCCUGGGUGGCAGCCUUCUCCUGCGUGCGCAGGGCCUUGCCACACUGCUGGCCCAGGAGCAGCGUGCCUCCCGUGAGUCCCAGCCCAGUGACACCAGCGUGGGCGACAAUUCCUCCUAGGUGCCCGGCUGUGCUGCCCUGGGCGGUGGCAGCUUCCAGGCGGCCCGAAGCCAGGGCCCUGCACCGAUGGCCUCGGCAGAGAAGGGAGAUUCGUGACCUGAGCAAACACAGGUUCUGAGCCCUGUGUGGUCUGCCGCCGGACAUCGCACACUUUGCUGCAUGCAUGCUGCAGCCAACAGGCCAGACCGUGACGAGACCUCCACCUGAGACUGCGUGCUGCAGCUGACCAGCUCCUGAGAAGCUCGCGGCAAUGGGUGCAAGUGGGCCACGUUCCAAUGAGGAUUAAACCGGCCCAGCUACCCAGCUGCCCUGGAGGGCUGCUGCGGGACCUGGGCACUCGAUGCCCCUAGGCUUGCCACGUAGCUUCUGUCACUGGGUCUUGGAAAGUGCAGGCACGGCCAUGGUCUGAGGGGUCCGUGGCCUGUCCUAGCGAGGGCUGGGAGACCCCAGCACCCAACAGUGCCCCAUUGCUUUC
Ochotona princeps (American pika) is the source of this 1541-nucleotide RNA transcript. It is a transcript of the gene named small integral membrane protein 41, with no coding region annotated. NCBI's taxonomy places the organism in Eukaryota, Metazoa, Chordata, Mammalia, Lagomorpha, Ochotonidae. The transcript is spliced from 2 exons. The record is from RefSeq and is a predicted model, not a curated record.